Molecule: long non-coding RNA, 2142 nt
Organism: Phasianus colchicus (ring-necked pheasant)
Lineage: Eukaryota; Metazoa; Chordata; Aves; Galliformes; Phasianidae
Source: Ensembl
AAAAGGAUCACAAUGAUCAUCUAGUUUCAACCCUCUUGCUAUGUGCAGGGUUGCCAACCACUAGAACAGGCUGCCCAGAGCCACAUCCAGCCUGGCUUUGAAUGCCUCCAGGGAUUCCCAUUCUGAUAGGGAUGUUGUGCUCAUGACUGCACUAAUCAUUUUAAGGCGUUCAGUACUAUUGCGACAUUGGAGAGACACCUGAGAUACAAUUGUGAAGUGCAUAACAUCACUCAAGAUAGACUCCGGUGUAGAGCCUGGUCCCACGCACACUGCACAGCAGUGGCUUAGAGUCCCUUAGGUAUAGAUGACAGAGCCCUGUGAUUCAAAUUCCCUGACAUGCUUGAAGGCUGUUAUGCACCCAUCAAAAUAGAAUUUCCAAAUAUCUGCAUUACAUAGCGUGCACUGAAGAUGGAUUUUAUAAAUCAAUUUUGAUUCUUCCUGCAAAGUUCUUCGUGGACUUUGUUCUGAGAUCUUCCCACCACCUGAGACCACAACACUCACCCAAGAAGGAGAAAUGUAUGUUCCAAUCAAAAUAUUCACUUUCAUGCCCUUUGCAGUACUGCUAUACACACACAUGCCCCAGGCAGAUGCUUUGGCACUUGCGAAGACCUGCAUGGAGUCUUUCUGAAAGCUUCUCCUAGCAAAUUUGUGUCAACAGAAGGAAAUACUUCUCCAAAUUUAACAGUUCAUCAUAGAAGAGUCUAUUGCUGACUAGCAGAAAACAUUUCAAAGCUCUCUACCACUCUGAUGUGGACAGACUUCUACUUGCAACUUCUUCCUCUUUCAUUCUUUUAAAGAUGCAUAUUGGAUACUAGUAUAAAUGCCCUGAUAGGUCAGUCUAUUCUGAGGCAUACUUGAAAGCAAUCCUCCAAAAUCCAAGUGCAAACUUCACUGGCCAAGAGAUAUAUGAACUAUGUAAGUUUAACUGAUGGCUUUUCCUAGGAAAGACACCUUGGAUGAUUAAAUGAUAUUUCUACUUCAUUCUUAAUUCAAAACUGAUUAUUACGUAUGGAGUUAUUCACAUUACACUUCUCAUUUUGAAAAAUGAUGAUAAUGAGAGGCUGAAAACCUCUUUAAUGAUGCCAAAGAAGAGACACACAGAUAAUGUACUUGAACCACAGAGUGCAAUCUGAUGUUUUAAACUCAAUGAAACUCUUGUUCUUUCUGUUGACUUCCAAUGGGAAUUCUUAAAAUCUAAUAGUAUUGUAGCCAUUCAAGAGAGAGAAAUUGCUAUCUUGAAAGACUUAUAAUGUAGUGCAGUUUGUUGAGAUACAGAAGUGCAUCACACCUUGUAUGGAUGGUAUACUCUUUUCUUACACUUAAUGAAUAUCUGUUAAUUAACACUACAUAAUAUUGCAAAACCUGAGAGUAUAAUUUUUUGGACUUUUCAGUUCUUUCCUCUGAAAGGCAGUUUUGUAGCCACAGGUGUCUACAACAUGAAAUGGUAUUUUUUUUUAAUGUAUUUAUUUUUAUAGGCAGAACACCUUUUUUGUAAUAGGAAAAAAGGUCUGUAAUGUUGAUGAUCUAAGUUGACUACAGCAAAUUUGACACUGAUAACAAAUGAAGCACAGUGCACUACGCUUUGUAUUUAGCUUUCAGGGAAAUCAUGAUCUGCAGCAGCUUUAAAGGGUAAUUCUCACCUUCAGAGAAGAUUUUCAAUGCUCCCAUUAACAUUGAUCACAUUUGUAGUAGUCUCAGGCAUAAUACAUUAUUAAUAUCACCCUUUUCUGUUUUUUUAAUUGUUUGAAAAGAAACAAAGGAAAUUAAAUAGAAAUGUCUCCAUUAAAAUAACAGAAGUGGUCAGACUAAAAUCCACGAAAGACAGGAAAUCCAGAAUUAAAAGUCGGUACUCCCACUGAGCGUCUCCAGACAUCAGCUGAACUUGUUUGCUAUAUUUUGCAAUAUUGAGUCUUGGCACAAGCUCAAAAUAAGGUGACUUACAGAUGAGUCACCUCCUUCUAGCAGGUUUAAAGUCCAAACCUUAAUGCAUUUUUUGUGUACCAUACCAGUAAAUGUCUUGUAGAUCUCACUCCUUUAACACAUGCAAUUGUGCACAGGAAUUUCAUCUCCCAUAAAGAUGAAAUCAGGUUAAGAGGAAAAAAAAAAAAAAAUAAUAAAAAAAAAUUGUCAAGGGAUUUGACA